RNAcentral lists this small RNA (103 nucleotides) under Marmota monax (woodchuck). The record is from RNAcentral. Lineage: Eukaryota; Metazoa; Chordata; Mammalia; Rodentia; Sciuridae.
ACCAGGUGUGGUGGCCAUGCCUGUAAUCCCAGCUACUCAGGAGGUUAGACAGGAGGAUUACAAGUUCAAUGCCAGCAUGGGCAAAUUAACAAGAUCCUGUCUC